CCUACGGGGGGCAGCAGUGGGGAAUAUUGGACAAUGGGCGAAAGCCUGAUCCAGCCAUGCCGCGUGUGUGAAGAAGGCCUUCGGGUUGUAAAGCACUUUCAGUGGGGAAGAAAGCCUUGGGGCUAAUACCCUCGAGGAAGGACAUCACCCACAGAAGAAGCACCGGCUAACUCCGUGCCAGCAGCCGCGGUAAUACGGAGGGUGCGAGCGUUAAUCGGAAUUACUGGGCGUAAAGCGCGCGUAGGCGGUCUGAUAAGCCGGUUGUGAAAGCCCCGGGCUCAACCUGGGAACGGCAUCCGGAACUGUCAGGCUAGAGUGCAGGAGAGGAAGGUAGAAUUCCCGGUGUAGCGGUGAAAUGCGUAGAGAUCGGGAGGAAUACCAGUGGCGAAGGCGGCCUUCUGGACUGACACUGACGCUGAGGUGCGAAAGCGUGGGUAGCAAACAGGAUUAGAUACCCCUGUGUC
Molecule: ribosomal RNA, 464 nt
Filed under: Vreelandella stevensii
Lineage: Bacteria; Pseudomonadati; Pseudomonadota; Gammaproteobacteria; Oceanospirillales; Halomonadaceae
Description: partial 16S ribosomal RNA
Rfam family: Bacterial small subunit ribosomal RNA
Source: RNAcentral